GUCAGUGUUCCCUGUUUGAAGAUCCCUAUUGAAUUUUAUUCCUGCGAUUCUUGAAUAUGCCAUAUACUUGAUUUUAAUUGUGUGGCUCAGAAACCUCAUGGUUUGAGUGCGACCUUUUCUGGUUGCAUCCGGGCCCUGUUUGGAUGGAAAUUCCUUUUUGUAGUUCGAACAAAUUACCAUGGUCAAACUACGUCUCUCAGUAAAGUAUUUUAGAUUUAACUUGUAGAUUUAUCUAUUUGCAUAAAUAUCUGUAGAAAAGACGAAUAGUCAAACAAGUGAAAAAAAUUCAAUGGUAUCAUAUAUUUAAGAACCGAGGUAGUAACAGAUUUUGUAGUUUUGAAAACCAUGGCAGUAGUCUAUCUGAAACUUCUGUAGUCGUCAUAAACCGUAGUAGUUAUCUGUUCUAACUUCAAUCCGUGGUUUUCAGCCACUGUAUCACCCACACAGGGUUGUAGUCUUGGAGGUUUAGAAACUUUACAUCAGACCUUUUUUUCUAAACCAUGAUUUUGCAUGUCUCUGGUUUCUAAAACUAAAGUUUCUUGAUAAAACGGUUUCUCAAAACUAUGAAAUCCAAACAGGCCAGAGCCAUGUUUUAUGGGGUAUCUAGUUUGAGGAACUAAUCCUUCCAAGAAUGUGUUAGUCCAC
RNAcentral lists this long non-coding RNA (645 nucleotides) under Setaria viridis. RNAcentral's name for it is "long non-coding RNA (SVIR_LNC002763)". Lineage: Eukaryota; Viridiplantae; Streptophyta; Magnoliopsida; Poales; Poaceae. The record is from RNAcentral.